This 1953-nucleotide long non-coding RNA is filed under the name Numida meleagris (helmeted guineafowl). Its description in RNAcentral is "lncRNA (ENSNMEG00000002889.1)". Lineage: Eukaryota; Metazoa; Chordata; Aves; Galliformes; Numididae. The record is from RNAcentral.
AGAGGGAAGGAGAGAAAGGGAGGAAGGAAGGGAGGGAGGGAGGAAGAAGAGAAAGGAAGGAGGGAGGGAGAGGAAGGAGGGAGGAAGGGAGGGAAGGAGGGAAGGAAGGAGGAGGGAGGGACGGAGAGAGAGAGAGGAAGGAGAGAAAAGGAGGAAGGGAGAGGGAGGAAGGGAGGAAGAAAGGAAGGAAGGAAGGAAGGGAGGGAAGGAGGGAAGGAAGGAGGGAGGGAGGAAGAGAGGAAGGAGAGAAAGGGAAGAAGGGAGAGGGAGAAAGGAAGGAAGGAGAGAAAGGAAGGAAGGAAGGAGAGAAAGGAAGGAAGUAGAGGAGGAAAGGAGAGGAAGGGAGGAAGGGAGGGAGGGAGGGAGGAAGAAGAGAAAGGAAGGAGGGAGGGAGAGAAAGGAAGGAAGGAGAGGAAGGAAGGGAGGGAGGGGAAGGGAGGGAGGAAGGAAGGCAGGGAGGGAGGGAAGGAAGGAGGAAGGAGGGAGGGAGAGAGAGAGAGGAAGGAGAGAAAGGGAAGAAGGGAGAGGGAGGAAGGGAGGAAGGAAGAAAGGAGAGAAAGGAAGGAAGGAGAGGAGGAAAGGAGAGGAAGGGAGGUAGGAAGAGAGGGAGAGAGGAAGGGAGGAAUAAAGGAGAGAAAGGAAGGAAGGAGAAGAGGGAAGGAGAGGAAGGGAGGAAGGAAGGGAGGGAAGGAGAAAGAAGAGAAAGGAAGGAGUGAGGGAGGGAAAGGGAGGGAGGAAGGAAGGGAGGGAUGGAGGGAAGGAAGAAGGAAGGGAGGGAAGGAGGGAAGAAAAGGAAGGAGGGAGGGAGAGAGAGAGGAAGGAGAGAAAGGGAAGAAGGGAGAGGGAGAAAGGAAGGAAGGAAGAAAGGAGAGAAAGGAAGGAAGUAGAGGAGGAAAGGAGAGGAAGGGAGGAAGGAAGGGAGGGAGGGAGGAAGAAGAGAAAGGAAGGAGCGAGGGAGAGAAAGGAAGGAAGGAGAGGAAGGAAGGGAGGAAGGGGAAGGGAGGGAGGAAGGGGAAGGGAGGGAGGAAGGGGAAGGGAGGGAAGGAGAGAAGGAAGGAGGGAGGAGGGAGGGAGAGGGAGAGAGGAAGGAGAGAAAAGGAGGAAGGGAGAGGGAGAAAGGAAGGAAGGAGAGGAAGGAAGGGAGGUAGAGGAAGGGAGGGAGGAAGGGAAGGAGGGAGGAAGAAGAGAAAGGAAGGAGGGAGGGAGAGGAAGGAAGGGAGGGAGGGGAAGGGAGGGAGGAAGGGAAGGAAGGAAGGAGGGAGGGAGGGAGGGGUGACCUCGGUGUCCUCUGGCUGUGCACCAAACCCAGCAUCCCCAGCGAGAGCGCAGGGAUGCAGCGCUGCUGGGAUGCUCCCGGACCACGAGGCUCAGCAGCUCCGGUGGGCGCUGACAGGAGGGCGAGUUGUCAGCCCCUGCUCCUUAACACCCUGACAAGCUCCUAACUAUUUCAUUUGUUACACCGUGAACCUUUUUAAAUUAAUGAACAUAAGGUUGUCACGGUUGCCGUGGAGACGACACGUUGCCAGGGCGACGGCGGCGAUACGGAGCCUGCGGAGUGUAAUCAGGGGUCAGGCUAACGAGGGAGCCAGGAUGUGCGUGGGGGGCUGCAGGAAGGGGCAGUGAACCCCCAGUGCUCCCAGCAGCCCACGGCCCCCAAACCAGUAGGGGCAAUGGGGAGAACGUGGCACUGCAGCAUCCCUCGCUCUGCAUCGGCAACCCCCGGGGAGCAAAACCCCCUCGUUGCACAAACCUCGGGAUGCUCAUGUUGCACGUGAGCCUGACCCUGCAAGCAAGGAGAAGGAGGCUGGGCAAGCAGCUCGGUGCGUUGCACCCUGCCCUGCCCUCGUCCCCGUGAGUUUGCUGGGGCUUCNNNNNNNNNNNNNNNNNNNNNNNNNNNNNNNNNNNNNNNNNNNNNNNNNNNNNNNNNNNNNNNNNNNNNNNNNNNNNNNNNNN